Molecule: ribosomal RNA, 800 nt
Filed under: Staphylococcus xylosus
Lineage: Bacteria; Bacillati; Bacillota; Bacilli; Caryophanales; Staphylococcaceae
Description: bacterial SSU rRNA
Rfam family: Bacterial small subunit ribosomal RNA
Source: RNAcentral
GAGCAUGCGACGUGCUAUACAUGCAGUCGAGCGAACAGAUAAGGAGCUUGCUCCUUUGAAGUUAGCGGCGGACGGGUGAGUAACACGUGGGUAACCUACCUAUAAGACUGGGAUAACUUCGGGAAACCGGAGCUAAUACCGGAUAACAUUUAGAACCGCAUGGUUCUAAAGUGAAAGAUGGUUUUGCUAUCACUUAUAGAUGGACCCGCGCCGUAUUAGCUAGUUGGUAAGGUAACGGCUUACCAAGGCGACGAUACGUAGCCGACCUGAGAGGGUGAUCGGCCACACUGGAACUGAGACACGGUCCAGACUCCUACGGGAGGCAGCAGUAGGGAAUCUUCCGCAAUGGGCGAAAGCCUGACGGAGCAACGCCGCGUGAGUGAUGAAGGGUUUCGGCUCGUAAAACUCUGUUAUUAGGGAAGAACAAAUGUGUAAGUAACUGUGCACAUCUUGACGGUACCUAAUCAGAAAGCCACGGCUAACUACGUGCCAGCAGCCGCGGUAAUACGUAGGUGGCAAGCGUUAUCCGGAAUUAUUGGGCGUAAAGCGCGCGUAGGCGGUUUCUUAAGUCUGAUGUGAAAGCCCACGGCUCAACCGUGGAGGGUCAUUGGAAACUGGGAAACUUGAGUGCAGAAGAGGAAAGUGGAAUUCCAUGUGUAGCGGUGAAAUGCGCAGAGAUAUGGAGGAACACCAGUGGCGAAGGCGACUUUCUGGUCUGUAACUGACGCUGAUGUGCGAAAGCGUGGGGAUCAAACAGGAUUAGAUACCCUGGUAGUCCACGCCGUAAACGAUGAGUGCUA